RNAcentral lists this ribosomal RNA (484 nucleotides) under uncultured bacterium. RNAcentral's name for it is "partial 16S ribosomal RNA". It matches the Rfam family "Bacterial small subunit ribosomal RNA", at positions 30 to 507 of the family's 1533-position model. The record is from RNAcentral.
AUUGAACGCUGGCGGCAGGCCUAACACAUGCAAGUCGAGCGGAUGAAGGGAGCUUGCUCCUGGAUUCAGCGGCGGACGGGUGAGUAAUGCCUAGGAAUCUGCCUGGUAGUGGGGGAUAACGUCCGGAAACGGGCGCUAAUACCGCAUACGUCCUGAGGGAGAAAGUGGGGGAUCUUCGGACCUCACGCUAUCAGAUGAGCCUAGGUCGGAUUAGCUAGUUGGUGGGGUAAAGGCCUACCAAGGCGACGAUCCGUAACUGGUCUGAGAGGAUGAUCAGCCACACUGGAACUGAGACACGGUCCAGACUCCUACGGGAGGCAGCAGUGGGGAAUAUUGGACAAUGGGCGAAAGCCCGAUCCAGCCAUGCCGUGUGUGUGAAGAAGGUCUUCGGAUUGUAAAGCACUUUAAGUUGGGAGGAAGGGCAGUAAGUUAAUACCUUGCUGUUUUGACGUUACCAACAGAAUAAGCACCGGCUAACUUCGUG